GAUGAACGCUGGCGGUAGGCCUAACACAUGCAAGUCGAACGGCAGCGGGGGCUUCGGCCCGCCGGCGAGUGGCGAACGGGUGAGUAAUGCAUCGGAACGUGCCCAGUCGUGGGGGAUAACACAUCGAAAGAUGUGCUAAUACCGCAUACGUCCUGAGGGAGAAAGCGGGGGAUCUUCGGACCUCGCGCGAUUGGAGCGGCCGAUGUCGGAUUAGCUAGUUGGUGGGGUAAAAGCCCACCAAGGCGACGAUCCGUAGCGGGUCUGAGAGGAUGAUCCGCCACACUGGGACUGAGACACGGCCCAGACUCCUACGGGAGGCAGCAGUGAGGAAUAUUGGUCAAUGGACGCAAGUCUGAACCAGCCACGUCGCGUGAAGGAAGACGGCCCUACGGGUUGUAAACUUCUUUUAUACGGGAAUAAAGUGCCCCACGCGUGGGGUUUUGCAUGUACCGUAUGAAUAAGGAUCGGCUAACUCCGUG
Molecule: ribosomal RNA, 479 nt
Filed under: uncultured bacterium
Lineage: Bacteria
Description: bacterial SSU rRNA
Rfam family: Bacterial small subunit ribosomal RNA
Source: RNAcentral